This 225-nucleotide unclassified non-coding RNA is filed under the name Hevea brasiliensis (rubber tree). The record is from RNAcentral. Lineage: Eukaryota; Viridiplantae; Streptophyta; Magnoliopsida; Malpighiales; Euphorbiaceae.
UGUUUCCAGCUGCAAGCAGGCACCUACCACGUCAAGAAAGGAUUCAGUUGGGGAGUUGCUGCUUAAUAUCCCAAGGAUUGCCUCCCACCCACAAUUUUUGUAUAAUAUGUAGGGAGAUUCAGAUCAAGAAUUGGAAAGAACGAUGGAUUCUGCCACUUUCAACUGGUCGUGGACAGGAUAUGUGGAUUUUGUGUUUUGCAGUUUACUUUUUGUAAAUUGUAGAAG